GACGAACGCUGGCGGCGUGCCUAAUACAUGCAAGUAGGACGCGCAGUCUAUACCGUAGCUUGCUACACCAUAGGCUGUGAGUUGCGAACGGGUGAGUAACGCGUAGGUAACCUGCCUAUUAGAGGGGGAUAACUAUUGGAAACGAUAGCUAAUACCGCAUAACAGUAUGUAACACAUGUUAGAUGCUUGAAAGAUGCAAUUGCAUCGCUAGUAGAUGGACCUGCGUUGUAUUAGCUAGUAGGUAGGGUAAUGGCCUACCUAGGCGACGAUACAUAGCCGACCUGAGAGGGUGAUCGGCCACACUGGGACUGAGACACGGCCCAGACUCCUACGGGAGGCAGCAGUAGGGAAUCUUCGGCAAUGGGGGGAACCCUGACCGAGCAACGCCGCGUGAGUGAAGAAGGUUUUCGGAUCGUAAAGCUCUGUUGUUAAGGAAGAACGAGUGUGGGAAUGGAAAGUUCAUACUGUGACGGUACUUAACCAGAAAGGGACGGCUAACUACGU
Molecule: ribosomal RNA, 504 nt
Filed under: uncultured bacterium
Lineage: Bacteria
Description: partial 16S ribosomal RNA
Rfam family: Bacterial small subunit ribosomal RNA
Source: RNAcentral